UGUUCAAAUAGAUUAGAGAGAGGUUUGAGAGUUUUAGAGUGAGAAACAUUACAUUUUUGUUGCAGCCAUUUGAGAGGAAGAAAGAGAAUGUGUACAUUUUCUUUCUAUAUGGAGACAAAAAUUCUAAUUAGGUUAAAUAUUUUCGAUACAGAAGACUUCUUGGUAAGUCUUCUUGACCCUAAAAAGCAAAUACAUGAGAAGACUUCUGGAAUAUUUCUGGAAGACUUUGCUUUAUGCGGAAAAUUUAAAUUCUACUAAAAUUUAUGCGGCAAUAUGUCAGAAGACGUCUUGGUA
RNAcentral lists this long non-coding RNA (294 nucleotides) under Brassica napus (rape). RNAcentral's name for it is "long non-coding RNA (BNAP_LNC007010)". The record is from RNAcentral. Lineage: Eukaryota; Viridiplantae; Streptophyta; Magnoliopsida; Brassicales; Brassicaceae.